AGGAUUGCAAAACCCUCCAUCUUCAACCUUCACUUGUUAGCUGGAAAAUGUAUGAAUAGAAGCUUCUCCUCAUCAAAGAUUUGGUUAUACUGAGGGCUUUCUGUCUAUCACCUGAGGUGGUGAAUGAGUCCCCACACAGUCAUGAGCAGAAGAGGAGGCCAACCCAGAUGGCCACCACUGCGUCCCUUCGUGCCUUCGCCUACUGCUUCACAGCCCCGCCACGCUGGGAGGGCGCAGGAGAGCAUGGCACGUCCGACACAAGCAGGGCAGAAUCCGCAGAAAGACCAGCAACACCAAAUGAUCAACUUCCAGAACAUUCUACAGAAGCGGCAGCUCCAACACAUGCUUAUUUUCUGAAACUUACACACCCAGCACUCUUUGUUUAGGCCAAACCCAAUGGGCUUGUUCUUUCCUGUCUAGCUGAUAAUUAAACUUAGUUUCUGGC
Molecule: long non-coding RNA, 445 nt
Organism: Hyaena hyaena (striped hyena)
Lineage: Eukaryota; Metazoa; Chordata; Mammalia; Carnivora; Hyaenidae
Exons: 2
Source: RefSeq, a predicted model, not a curated record